GCUGACUUUACGUUCGCCCCAGCUCGAUAUUCGCUACUAGUGCCGAAUGUCGAUUUAAGAGCAUUCUCGACAUUCACGCUAGCUCGAUAUUCAGGACAAGUGCCGAAUGUAGAUGUCAGAGCUGGCCUGAUAUUUACCCCAACUCGAUAUUUGGGACUUUUGUCGAAUGUCGAUAUCAGAGCUGAUUCGACAUUCGCCCUAGCUCAAUAUUCAGGACUAUUGUCAAAUGUCGAUGUCAGAGCUGGUUCGACAUUAGCCCAUUUGGGAGUAGUGUCGAAUGUCGAUGCCAAAGCUGGGUCGACGUUCGCCCCAGUUCGACACUCUCUACUAGUGCCGAAUGUCGAAGUAAAAGCUGACUUGACAUUGGCCUUAGCUCGAUAUUCGGGACUAAUGCCUAAUGUCAAUGCCAGAGCUGGCUCGACAUUUGCCCCAGCUCGAUAUUUGGGACUAUUGCCGAAUGUUGAUGUUAGAGCUGGCUCGACAUUUGUCCCAGCUCAAUAUUCGGGACAAGUGCCGAAUGUCGAUGUCAGAGCUGGUUCCACAAUCGCCCAAGCUCAAUAUUCGGAACUUGUGUCAAAUGUCAAUGUUAGAGCUGACUCGACAUUUGCCCUAGCUCGAUAUUCGGGACAAGUGACGAAUAUCGAUGUCAGAGCUAGCUCGACGUUCGCCCCAUCUCGAUAUUCGCUACUAGUUCCGAAUGUAGAAGUCAGAGCUGGCUCGACAUUAACCCAAGCUUUAUAUUCGGGACUAGUGUCGAAUGUCGAUGUCAGAGGUGGCUCGACAUUCGCCCCAGCUCGAUAUUCGGGUCUUUUUACCAAAUUUCGAUGUCAGAGCUGGCGCGACAUUCGCAACAGUUCGAUAUUCGGAACUUUUGCCGAAUGUCGAUGUCAGAGCUUGCUCGACAUUCGCCCCAGCUCGAUAUUCGAAUGUCGAUUGUCUAUAUCAGUACCAACUUCACACACCUGUUAAUAAUAUGGUUGUUUAUUGGCGCACUAUUAGCAAAUGGUUCAAUCUUGAUAUUGCACUUGUAUUAACGGUUUGAAAUAAUUUAAUUUUAAUUUCUAUUAAUUUUGCAACCCAUGCGUGCACAAGUAUGUGACGACGACAUUCAUUUUGUAAGACCGUCGUCAUUAUGCGUAACCCAUAGUAGUUGAACAUCACUCGGCAUGAGUAUUCCGACGGGUAUUUCAUUUCUAUUCUAAAUGCAAAUGUUAAAAAGUUAUUACAUGUAUGUGUAAGGAUAAUAUUAAUUAUUUAUCAUUACUAUAAUUUUAAUUCGUCUUUAACCCAUUUAUGCCUAGCGUCUAGAAAAAGGGCCUUGGCAAACAGCGUAGACCCAGAUAAGACGCCGCAUUUCACGCAUCAGGGUCUGCGCUGUUUGCUAAAAGGAAUUUCUGUAAAUAAUAUUCUAAAUAUAAAAAUAAAUAUACUGGACAUCCCUAAUUUUAAUAAUAAAUUGAUCCAAUUUAGAAGGAUGGGAGAGUCCACUAGGCAUAAAUGGGUUAAUAAAAAAAAAAUUACGAGGAAUUUGUAAACAAUCCUUAUACAAAUAUGUUUAUAUGACAAUUUUGAAACAACAAUAUAUAAUGUCCUAAAUAUUAGCGAUUAUUUAUGACGCAAUUAAGAACGAUUAUUUCACCACUUAGUUUAUAGACUAGUGUUAAAUAAAAUAAAAAAGGCAUACAAUUAGCUUUGAUAUUAAUGCAAAGCAAAAGGUAAAAAACAGGAAUACCAUAUUUUUAGUUUAUGUUAUAAGCAAAUAAGAAACUCAUUUAAUUAUCACAUUAUCAUUGUUUCUUAAAGGUAAACUAUACGUAAGGCAUACAAUGAAUGUUAAUGGAAAGAAGACUCGUUUAUAUAUCCGCUACAUUUAUUACAGAUGUUAUAGCUAUAUAUAUAUAUGAAUACAUAUAAAAACUGAUAUAAGCGUCACUUAAACAAUUUGCAAACUAAUACUUAGAUCCUAUGUGAAGACACAGACACAAUUAAACGUGUGGUUUUUACUACUUCAGUCUUGGAGUAAUCAAGAAAAAGAUGCCUUCUGUCCAACUGGCACCAUCACCGCUGUUGACUGCCAAACUAUAGACGGUAUCCCUUUCUACUAUACCUGCGAAAAUGUGCAGUGUUCCAUACAAAAUGGUUUCGUAUGUUUGAAGUACCCACUGUCUUGCAGUGACUACAAGAUCCGAUACUUCUGCUCUACAUGUUUUACUUGUCCGUUUCGCAGCAGACCAGUGUCAUCCAUACAAAUACCGAAAGUCUCGUCAAGCACUCCUGCAGUGAUGGAACCUUCGUCAGAAGUAGCUAAUACUACUUCCUCUAUUACCGAAGCGGAAUGUGUGACCUCAGCGCAUCAUUCUCUGACAGAUAUCUGCAAUCCCUUACAACUGGGUGUUGUCGUAGGAAUCGCCUCGCUGAUAUGGUUAAUAAUCAUCAUCGCCAUGUGUGUGUAUUUUAAAGUCGUGCG
Molecule: long non-coding RNA, 2467 nt
Organism: Dreissena polymorpha
Lineage: Eukaryota; Metazoa; Mollusca; Bivalvia; Myida; Dreissenidae
Exons: 3
Source: RefSeq, a predicted model, not a curated record